This 429-nucleotide ribosomal RNA is filed under the name Chloroflexota bacterium. RNAcentral's name for it is "Chloroflexi bacterium partial 16S ribosomal RNA". It matches the Rfam family "Bacterial small subunit ribosomal RNA", at positions 355 to 776 of the family's 1533-position model. Lineage: Bacteria; Bacillati; Chloroflexota. The record is from RNAcentral.
UGGGGAAUAUUGCACAAUGGGCGCAAGCCUGAUGCAGCCAUGCCGCGUGUAUGAAGAAGGCCUUCGGGUUGUAAAGUACUUUCAGCGGGGAGGAAGGGAGUAAAGUUAAUACCUUUGCUCAUUGACGUUACCCGCAGAAGAAGCACCGGCUAACUCCGUGCCAGCAGCCGCGGUAAUACGGAGGGUGCAAGCGUUAAUCGGAAUUACUGGGCGUAAAGCGCACGCAGGCGGUUUGUUAAGUCAGAUGUGAAAUCCCCGGGCGCAACCUGGGAACUGCAUCUGAUACUGGCAAGCUUGAGUCUCGUAGAGGGGGGUAGAAUUCCAGGUGUAGCGGUGAAAUGCGUAGAGAUCUGGAGGAAUACCGGUGGCGAAGGCGGCCCCCUGGACGAAGACUGACGCUCAGGUGCGAAAGAGUGGGGAGCAAACAGG